Molecule: ribosomal RNA, 573 nt
Filed under: Triticum aestivum (bread wheat)
Lineage: Eukaryota; Viridiplantae; Streptophyta; Magnoliopsida; Poales; Poaceae
Description: partial small subunit ribosomal RNA
Source: RNAcentral
AUGGACGUCGGUCAGAGCGCACCAUCGCCCGCCUGUGAGAGUGAGCCACUCCGAGCACUCCGCCAUUCGCCCAUCCACCUUGCAUGGGUGCCAAUCGACUUCCUCAAGCACCGGCUGCCUCUUUCUCGGUCUUCUCCUCCAACACCGGUGAGCAGCUCCCCGCUGGGUUCAAGGUCGAUGCCAACGAGGCUGGGCGAUCCUUGGACAUGGAGCGGCAGCACGCCGGCGCCAACUUCAUAUGCAGUAGCGGCAGCGGCUCACAGGUGGCAGAGGCGCCUUCCACGCCCAUGGCCGAUGGCUCCGCAUCAGCCAUGGCCGGCGUCUCCACGUCCAGCACGUCCAUGGUGGCGCUGCCGCGUUCUUGGCUGCACCUCCGCUUCCCUGGCCGGAUUUGCUUGCUGGUCGUGGACGCUUGCGUCAUGUGAAACAGAGAAGGCCGGAGUACAGCAUACUACUACUUCUUGCACGUGGGCUGGGGACUUUCUCGUCCAAAAUUUAGCGCCAGCACAUACAUUGGUACCUGGUCUAGAAACUAUGCGCACUACAAUCUGGAAUGGAGGGAGUACAUGUUAA